GACGAACGCUGGCGGCGUGCCUAAUACAUGCAGUUGAGCGCUGAAGGUUGGUACUUGUACCAACUGGAUGAGCAGCGAACGGGUGAGUAACGCGUGGGGAAUCUGCCUUUGAGCGGGGGACAACAUUUGGAAACGAAUGCUAAUACCGCAUAAAAACUUUAAACACAAGUUUUAAGUUUGAAAGAUGCAAUUGCAUCACUCAAAGAUGAUCCCGCGUUGUAUUAGCUAGUUGGUGAGGUAAAGGCUCACCAAGGCGAUGAUACAUAGCCGACCUGAGAGGGUGAUCGGCCACAUUGGGACUGAGACACGGCCCAAACUCCUACGGGAGGCAGCAGUAGGGAAUCUUCGGCGAUGGACGAAAGUCUGACCGAGCAACGCCGCGUGAGUGAAGAAGGUUUUCGGAUCGUAAAACUCUGUUGGUAGAGGAGAACGUUGGUGAGAGUGGAAAGCUCAUCAAGUGACGGUAACUACCCAGAAAGGGACGGCUAACUACGUG
RNAcentral lists this ribosomal RNA (496 nucleotides) under uncultured bacterium. RNAcentral describes it as "partial 16S ribosomal RNA". It matches the Rfam family "Bacterial small subunit ribosomal RNA", at positions 28 to 507 of the family's 1533-position model. The record is from RNAcentral.